This is a transfer RNA of Toxocara canis (dog roundworm), 72 nucleotides long. It matches the Rfam family "tRNA". From Rfam's summary of the family: Transfer RNA (tRNA) molecules are approximately 80 nucleotides in length. Their secondary structure includes four short double-helical elements and three loops (D, anti-codon, and T loops). Further hydrogen bonds mediate the characteristic L-shaped molecular structure. tRNAs have two regions of fundamental functional importance: the anti-codon, which is responsible for specific mRNA codon recognition, and the 3' end, to which the tRNAs corresponding amino acid is attached (by aminoacyl-tRNA synthetases). tRNAs cope with the degeneracy of the genetic code in two manners: having more than one tRNA (with a specific anti-codon) for a particular amino acid; and 'wobble' base-pairing, i.e. permitting non-standard base-pairing at the 3rd anti-codon position. Lineage: Eukaryota; Metazoa; Nematoda; Chromadorea; Rhabditida; Toxocaridae. The record is from Rfam.
GGGGCAGUAGUUUAAUGAAUUGGGCCCUUGCUCAUCAUGCAAGAGACCCAGGUUCGACUCCCGGUUGCUCCG